GCCUACGGGGCGCAGCAGUGGGGAAUCUUGCACAAUGGGGGCAACCCUGAUGCAGCGACGCCGCGUGAGCGAUGAAGCCCUUCGGGGUGUAAAGCUCUUUCGACGGGAACGGUAAUGACGGUACCCGGAGAAGAAGCUGCGGCUAACUACGUGCCAGCAGCCGCGGUAAUACGUAGGCAGCAAGCGUUGUUCGGAGUUACUGGGCGUAAAGAGUGCGUAGGCGGUCCUGUAAGUUUGGUGUGAAAUCUCCCGGCUCAACUGGGAGGGUGCGCCGAAGACUGCAGGGCUUGAGUAUGGGAGAGGUAAGCGGAAUUCCUGGUGUAGCGGUGAAAUGCGUAGAUAUCAGGAGGAACACCUGUGGUGUAGACAGCUUACUGGACCAUAACUGACGCUGAGGCACGAAAGCGUGGGUAGCAAACAGGAUUAGAUACCCUGGU
Molecule: ribosomal RNA, 437 nt
Filed under: uncultured bacterium
Lineage: Bacteria
Description: bacterial SSU rRNA
Rfam family: Bacterial small subunit ribosomal RNA
Source: RNAcentral